AUUGAACGCUGGCGGCAGGCCUAACACAUGCAAGUCGAACGGUAACAGGAAGAAGCUUGCUUCUUUGCUGACGAGUGGCGGACGGGUGAGUAAUGUCUGGGAAACUGCCUGAUGGAGGGGGGUAACUACUGGAAACGGUAGCUAAUACCGCAUAACGUCGCAAGACCAAAGAGGGGGACCUUCGGGCCUCUUGCCCUCGGAUGUGCCCAGAUGGGAUUAGCUAGUAGGUGGGGUAACGGCUCACCUAGGCGACGAUCCCUAGCUGGUCUGAGAGGAUGACCAGCCACACUGGAACUGAGACACGGUCCAGACUCCUACGGGAGGCAGCAGUGGGGAAUAUUGCACAAAGGGCGCAAGCCUGAUGCAGCCAUGCCGCGUGUAUGAAGAAGGCCUUCGGGUUGUAAAGUACUUUCAGCGGGGAGGAAGGGAGUAAAGUUAAUACCUUUGCUCAUUGACGUUACCCGCAGAAGAAGCACCGGCUAACUCCGUG
Molecule: ribosomal RNA, 490 nt
Filed under: uncultured bacterium
Lineage: Bacteria
Description: partial 16S ribosomal RNA
Rfam family: Bacterial small subunit ribosomal RNA
Source: RNAcentral